Molecule: long non-coding RNA, 407 nt
Filed under: Gossypium barbadense (sea-island cotton)
Lineage: Eukaryota; Viridiplantae; Streptophyta; Magnoliopsida; Malvales; Malvaceae
Description: long non-coding RNA (GBAR_LNC012853)
Source: RNAcentral
GGCACACGAACCCUAUCGUCAAUUUCCUUUAAGUUUUGCUUAAUCAACAAACCCAGCUCUUUCAAAUCCAUCGAAUUCAAACUCUGCAAUAUCUCUUUUCCAUUCAGGCUUUGGAACAUGGCAGUUUUCAACUCCUUCUGUCAAUUUUCCUUACGCAGUUUCCUAAGAUGUUGAGUAGCUUUGGCUAAAGCUUUGCUCAAAGAAACUCUCUUGGUUAACCAUCAAUUGUUUUGUUUCGACAGGGGCAGCUUCUUGGACUUGGACAGCAAGCGUCGGGCACUCACGUGGGACGACCAUACCUCAGGUUGGGAGUUGAAAUCAGGAGAGUACAUAAUAGUACAAGCUUCAAUCCCAUAAAGGGUAGUGAGUUCAUGCACCUUCUUCACUAGACCCUUGGUUCUUUUCUU